GGUCCGUUGGUCAAGGGGUUAAGACACCGCCUUUUCACGGCGGUAACACGGGUUCGAAUCCCUUCGAAUCCCGUACGGACUA
Molecule: transfer RNA, 82 nt
Filed under: Streptococcus agalactiae
Lineage: Bacteria; Bacillati; Bacillota; Bacilli; Lactobacillales; Streptococcaceae
Description: tRNA-Glu
Rfam family: tRNA
About the family: Transfer RNA (tRNA) molecules are approximately 80 nucleotides in length. Their secondary structure includes four short double-helical elements and three loops (D, anti-codon, and T loops). Further hydrogen bonds mediate the characteristic L-shaped molecular structure. tRNAs have two regions of fundamental functional importance: the anti-codon, which is responsible for specific mRNA codon recognition, and the 3' end, to which the tRNAs corresponding amino acid is attached (by aminoacyl-tRNA synthetases). tRNAs cope with the degeneracy of the genetic code in two manners: having more than one tRNA (with a specific anti-codon) for a particular amino acid; and 'wobble' base-pairing, i.e. permitting non-standard base-pairing at the 3rd anti-codon position.
Source: RNAcentral